CUCAAACUGAAAUUGGUUCUGUUAUUUCCCAGCUAUCGACAGGUCACUGAGAGGACACAUAAAAUUGACUGUGGGGGGAAGAGAGCAGCCUUGAUGACCUCGCAGCCCUGCUUUUAAAGUCCAGGUGUCUCUUGCUGUUGCUUUCCCGCAGGAAGUCAGGGUCAUUUCUCUUCCUCUCUCCGGCAACAUGCAGCAUAAAGUGUCCAGGCAUGGAUGAGAGGAGAGCGCAGGCAGGCAGACAGACAUCAGUCAGCUGAAUCAAGCAUGAAUUUCCUCAGCGGGAACAUUCAGGACAUUAUGUAAGCGCUUCAGGAUUUCAACAGAUGAGGGGAAUCCCUGAGGACAGUGUGUGAUUGACA
Long non-coding RNA from Micropterus dolomieu (smallmouth bass), 359 nucleotides. RefSeq lists it as uncharacterized. Lineage: Eukaryota; Metazoa; Chordata; Actinopteri; Centrarchiformes; Centrarchidae. The transcript has 3 exons. The record is from RefSeq and is a predicted model, not a curated record.